Molecule: ribosomal RNA, 253 nt
Filed under: uncultured bacterium
Lineage: Bacteria
Description: partial 16S ribosomal RNA
Rfam family: Bacterial small subunit ribosomal RNA
Source: RNAcentral
UACGGAGGUUGCAAGCGUUAUCCGGAUUCACUGGGUUUAAAGGGUGCGUAGGCGGGUUGGUAAGUCAGUGGUUAAAGCCUUCAGCUUAACUGAAGAGGUGCCAUUGAUACUGCCAGCCUAGAGUGUGGUUGAGGUGGCUGGAAUGUGUCAUGUAGCGGUGAAAUGCGUAGAUAUGACACAGAACACCGAUGGCGAAGGCAGGUCACCAAGCCACCACUGACGCUGAGGCACGAAAGCGUGGGGAGCAAACAGG